Molecule: ribosomal RNA, 410 nt
Filed under: uncultured bacterium
Lineage: Bacteria
Description: bacterial SSU rRNA
Rfam family: Bacterial small subunit ribosomal RNA
Source: RNAcentral
AAUGGGCGCAAGCCUGAUCCAGCAAUGCCGCGUGGGUGAAGAAGGCCUGCGGGUUGUAAAGCCCUUUAAGUGGGGAGGAAAGACUAGGUGUAAACAGCGCUUGGUUUUGACGUUACCCACAGAAUAAGCACCGGCUAACUCCGUGCCAGCAGCCGCGGUAAUACGGGGGGUGCAAGCGUUAAUCGGAAUUACUGGGCGUAAAGCGUGCGUAGGCGGUUUGAUCAGUCAGCCGUGAAAGCCCCGGGCCUAACCUGGGAACGGCGGUUGAGACGGUCAGACUCGAGUGGGCUAGAGGAUUGUGGAAUUCCGGGUGUAGCGGUGAAAUGCGUAGAGAUCCGGAGGAACACCGAUGGCGAAGGCAGCAGUCUGGGGCCACACUGACGCUGAGGCACGAAAGCGUGGGGAGCAAA